This 477-nucleotide ribosomal RNA is filed under the name uncultured bacterium. RNAcentral describes it as "bacterial SSU rRNA". It matches the Rfam family "Bacterial small subunit ribosomal RNA", at positions 403 to 896 of the family's 1533-position model. The record is from RNAcentral.
GGGUGAUGAAGGUCUUCGGAUCGUAAAGCCCUUUUCUGCGUGACGAGAGAGGACGGUAGCGCAGGAAUAAGUCUCGGCUAACUACGUGCCAGCAGCCGCGGUAAAACGUAGGAGACAAGCGUUAUCCGGAGUUACUGGGCGUAAAGCGUGCGUAGUCGGCCAUUUAAGUCGGGUGUGAAAUCCCCGGGCUCAACCUGGAAAUUGCAUUCGAUACUGGAUGGCUAGAGUUCGGCAGAGGGAAGCGGAAUUUCCGGUGUAGCGGUGAAAUGCGUAGAUAUCGGAAGGAACAUCAGUGGCGAAAGCGGCUUCCUGGACCAAAACUGACGAUCAGGCACGAAAGCGUGGGGAGCAAACAGGAUUAGAUACCCUGGUAGUCCACGCCAUAAACGAUGAGGACUAGACGUUGGGAGGGUAAGCCUUCCAGUGUCGCAGCUAACGCGUUAAGUCCUCCGCCUGGGGAGUACGGCCGCAAGGUUG